RNAcentral lists this ribosomal RNA (474 nucleotides) under uncultured organism. Its description in RNAcentral is "partial 16S ribosomal RNA". It matches the Rfam family "Bacterial small subunit ribosomal RNA", at positions 333 to 798 of the family's 1533-position model. The record is from RNAcentral.
ACACUCCUACGGGAGGCAGCAGUGGGGAAUUUUGGACAAUGGGCGAAAGCCUGAUCCAGCAAUGCCGCGUGUGUGAAGAAGGCCUUCGGGUUGUAAAGCACUUUUGUCCGGAAAGAAAUCCUUGGCUCUAAUACAGUCGGGGGAUGACGGUACCGGAAGAAUAAGCACCGGCUAACUACGUGCCAGCAGCCGCGGUAAUACGUAGGGUGCGAGCGUUAAUCGGAAUUACUGGGCGUAAAGCGUGCGCAGGCGGUUUGCUAAGACCGAUGUGAAAUCCCCGGGCUCAACCUGGGAACUGCAUUGGUGACUGGCAGGCUAGAGUAUGGCAGAGGGGGGUAGAAUUCCACGUGUAGCAGUGAAAUGCGUAGAGAUGUGGAGGAAUACCGAUGGCGAAGGCAGCCCCCUGGGCCAAUACUGACGCUCAUGCACGAAAGCGUGGGGAGCAAACAGGAUUAGAUACCCCAGUAGUCCCAU